UACGGAGGGUGCAAGCGUUAUCCGGAUUCACUGGGCUUAAAGGGUGCGUAGGCGGGCAGGUAAGUCAGUGGUGAAAUCUCCGGGCUCAACCCGGAAACUGCCAUUGAUACUAUUAGUCUUGAAUUUUGUUGAGGUAGGCGGAAUAAGUCAUGUAGCGGUGAAAUGCUUAGAUAUGACUUAGAACACCAAUUGCGAAGGCAGCUUGCUAAACAAACAUUGACGCUGAGGCACGAAAGCGUGGUGAUCAAACAGG
RNAcentral lists this ribosomal RNA (253 nucleotides) under uncultured bacterium. RNAcentral's name for it is "partial 16S ribosomal RNA". It matches the Rfam family "Bacterial small subunit ribosomal RNA", at positions 524 to 776 of the family's 1533-position model. The record is from RNAcentral.